GGGGGGGAGGGGCGGCGAGGCGAGGCCUGCGGAGCGGAGGAAGACAAACAUAAAGAUGAAGUGCUUAAUUCAAGGUCACACAAUGUCGGGGAUGGACCUCCAGAUUUCCUUACUGGUGAGACGUGGUCUUGUAACACAGUGGUUAAGAAUGUGACUUUGGAGCCAGCCUGCUAGGGGCUGAAUUCUGACUCAGCCAUUUACUAACUGUGUGACCUUAGGCUGGAGUGCAAUGGCAUGAUCUCGGCUCAUCACAACCUCUGCUUCCUGGGUUCAAGCGAUUCUCCUGCCUCAGCCUCCCGAGUACCUGGGACUACAGGCACUCGCCACCAUGCCCGGCUGAUUUUUGUAUUUUUAAUAGAGAUGGUUUCACUAUGUUGGCCAGGCUGGUCUCGAACUCCUGACCUUGUGAUCUGCCCACCUCAGCCUCGAAAAGUGCUGGGAUUACAGGCGUGAGCCACUGCGCCCAGCCUUGUAUUUUUUUUCAGUUUGGGUAGCUGUCCCUAAUUCAUUUGUUAAAGGAGAAGCAAGAGCAAGAACCUUUAAUCUGUUCUCCUCUUCCCUAAUUUGAAAGUAGCUUGUUAUUUUGAAUAUCACUUUCUCUGAAAUAGCACAUCUCCAUCUCAGAGAAUGGAUUUAAUGUUUGGAUACAGCCAAAAGUCAUUUCAUUACCAAACCAUGGGGUGAAUAUACCAUGUAAAGCAGUUUGGGAUCAGAACUCACAGUCUGAAUUGUAAGUGAUGAGACUGCUGUCUCUCUGCUACAGCUUCUUGGCUGGCUCUGAAGGCUCUUUGAAGGCAGAUCCUAACAAGGGGACUGCUUUGAAGGGCCAUUGUUCAUUUGGAAUGAUAAAGUCUAUGUUGUUCAAAAAACAAAUGCUUGUAGCAGGUAUUUUUUCACUCCAGACUGAGAAUAUUGGUGGGAUAUUGAUAAGGGGUACUGAAUGGUAAUAAACAUGUGCUCUAGCUCUGUGCUAGUCAGCUUAUUUCAGAACUCUAGUUUGAUUCAGUUUCUUGCCUCUGACUCAAAAUGGAGGGAGAGUGAUUUUUACAUAAGAGAACACACCCACAUAUCCUUUUGGCAGCAGCUACCUGCCAGAGAUGUUGAAGAAGAGUAGCCAACCUUUACACAGCAGAUAUUGUGUGCCAGUCAUAGUCCUAAGUAUAAUACCUUACAUGUAUAAACUUCUUAUAAGGUUGGUGCUCUGUACCGAAUUGAAUAGUAUCCCCCAAAAUUCAUGUUGUCCCAGAACCUAUGAAAGUGAUCUUACUUGAGGGAGGGGGGAGGGGGGAGGGAUAGCAUUAGGAGAUAUACCUAAUGCUAAAUGACGAGUUAAUGGGUGUAGCACACCAGCAUGGCACAUGUAUACAUAUGUAACUAACCUGCACAUUGUGCACAUGUACCCUAAAACUUAAAGUAUAAUAAUAAUAAAAUAAAAAAAAAAAAGAAAGUGAUCUUACUUGGAAAUAAGGUCUUUGCACAUAUGAUCAAGUUGAGAUGAAGUUGUACUGGAAAGUCUGUCUAGUGACUGGUGUUGUCAUAAGAAGAGAGGGACACAGAGGGAAGAUGGCCACAUGAAGAUGGAGGCAGAGAUUGCAGUUAUGCUGCUGCAAACUAAGGAAUGGCUCUGGCCCUCCAAGGAUUGCUGAUAACCACCAGAAACUAGAAGAGACAAGGAAGGAUUCUUCCCUAGAGCCUUCAGAGGGAGCAUGGCCCUACUGACACCUGGAUUUCAAACUUGUAGCUUCCUAAACUGCAAGAGAAUAAAUUUCUGUUGUUUUAAGCCA
Molecule: long non-coding RNA, 1784 nt
Filed under: Homo sapiens (human)
Lineage: Eukaryota; Metazoa; Chordata; Mammalia; Primates; Hominidae
Description: PCBP1 antisense RNA 1, transcript variant 46 (PCBP1-AS1)
Source: RNAcentral